Ostrea edulis (European flat oyster) is the source of this 491-nucleotide long non-coding RNA. RefSeq lists it as uncharacterized. Lineage: Eukaryota; Metazoa; Mollusca; Bivalvia; Ostreida; Ostreidae. The record is from RefSeq and is a predicted model, not a curated record. The transcript has 2 exons.
UUUGUCGCAUUUUGCGAUUUUUCAGAAAAAAAUGCGACAGAAAUUCCGGAAAUCCGACACGGACAUUUCGUAUUUUAGUAUUCGCGCGCAAUUUUGAAUUUCAGCUGUUGGCAUCCAAACAGCCUCAGGGCUGUUUUACCUGUGCAAAAUGUGGAUACCCUGUCGCAUGGGAACAAUAAGACUUAGGGGCGUCUUGUUUAUUUAGCAGUUUACACAAAACAAAGGGUUGAUCCUCUAUGUGCAGACUUCAUAAAGUCCCUUCUCCUCUACAUGAUGAGAUUCACCAAAGGACCACUUUGUCAUUCUGGAUUUCAAGAUGAAAACAAGAUUCUUCAGUGAAAAUGUGAUGUGAAACUAUGAUCAUGUGUUAUAUAUUACAGUAAUUAAUUUUCAGUAACUUUGUCAUCAGUGACUUUUUCUAGACUGCAAAUUUAAUGAGUAAUAUAUGUCAUUUACACUACUAAAAUGAUUAAUAAACAUUUAGAAACUCA